Molecule: ribosomal RNA, 419 nt
Filed under: uncultured Prevotella sp.
Lineage: Bacteria; Pseudomonadati; Bacteroidota; Bacteroidia; Bacteroidales; Prevotellaceae
Description: bacterial SSU rRNA
Rfam family: Bacterial small subunit ribosomal RNA
Source: RNAcentral
GGAAUAUUGGUCAAUGGGCGAGAGCCUGAACCAGCCAAGUAGCGUGCAGGAUGACGGCCCUAUGGGUUGUAAACUGCUUUUAUCCGGGGAUAAAGUGCACCACGUGUGGUGUUUUGUAGGUACCGCAUGAAUAAGGACCGGCUAAUUCCGUGCCAGCAGCCGCGGUAAUACGGAAGGUCCGGGCGCUAUCCGGAUUUAUUGGGUUUAAAGGGAGCGCAGGCUGGAUUUUAAGCGUGCUGUGAAAUGUACCGGCUCAACCGGUGACGUGCAGCGCGAACUGGAGUCCUUGAGUGAGUACGAGGUAUGCGGAAUUCGUGGUGUAGCGGUGAAAUGCUUAGAUAUCACGAAGAACCCCGAUUGCGAAGGCAGCCAACAAGGCCUUUACUGACGCUAAAGCUCGAAGGUGCGGGUAUCGAACA